AUCAUUCCUUGAAUUUUAGGCCAGAAUUCCAUCAUUUUCCCGCCAGAAUUCCCAGAUUUUUUUGGGAAUUCUCACUUGUAGAGCAGGUGCACGCAGCUCCCCUCGAUUUUUCACCUAAAUUCCAAGAUUUUUCCUCGAAAAUUCCAGGAUUUUCCCACCUAAAUUCUGGGAUUUUUCUGCCUGAAUUCCAUGAAUUUUCUGGCAUAAAUUCCAUUAGUUUUUCAUGCAAAUUCUGGGAUUUUUCUACCGUAAUUCCAGGAUUUUCCUGUCCAACUUCUGGGAUUUUUCAUGUGUAAAUUCCAUUCUUUUACCCCAUAAAUUCCAUUAUUUUAUCCCAUAAAUUCCAUUAUUUUACCCCCAAAAAUUCUGGGAUUUUUUCCACCAUAAUUCCAGGAUUUUCCCAUAUAAAUC
This 411-nucleotide long non-coding RNA is filed under the name Zonotrichia albicollis (white-throated sparrow). RNAcentral describes it as "lncRNA (ENSZALG00000001481.1)". The record is from RNAcentral. Lineage: Eukaryota; Metazoa; Chordata; Aves; Passeriformes; Passerellidae.